This 449-nucleotide ribosomal RNA is filed under the name uncultured bacterium. Its description in RNAcentral is "bacterial SSU rRNA". It matches the Rfam family "Bacterial small subunit ribosomal RNA", at positions 29 to 524 of the family's 1533-position model. The record is from RNAcentral.
AACGAACGCUGGCGGCAUGCCUAACACAUGCAAGUCGAACGAGACCUUCGGGUCUAGUGGCGCACGGGUGCGUAACGCGUGGGAAUCUGCCCUUCGGUUCGGAAUAACUCAGGGAAACUUGAGCUAAUACCGGAUAAUGACGUAAGUCCAAAGAUUUAUCGCCGAAGGAUGAGCCCGCGUAGGAUUAGCUUGUUGGUGGGGUAAUGGCCCACCAAGGCGACGAUCCUUAGCUGGUCUGAGAGGAUGAUCAGCCACACUGGGACUGAGACACGGCCCAGACUCCUACGGGAGGCAGCAGUGGGGAAUAUUGGACAAUGGGCGAAAGCCUGAUCCAGCAAUGCCGCGUGAGUGAUGAAGGCCUUAGGGUUGUAAAGCUCUUUACCCGGGAUGAUAAUGACAGUACCGGGAGAAUAAGCUCCGGCUAACUCUGUGCCAGCAGCCGCGGUAAU